Long non-coding RNA from Aphis gossypii (cotton aphid), 1190 nucleotides. RefSeq lists it as uncharacterized. The record is from RefSeq and is a predicted model, not a curated record. NCBI's taxonomy places the organism in Eukaryota, Metazoa, Arthropoda, Insecta, Hemiptera, Aphididae. The transcript has 6 exons.
AUAAACAAAAUACACAUUAAAGCACGUAUGUAGAUAUAAUUUUUUAUCUAUAUCGUGACACAAAAUAUGGUAAAAAAAUCAUACAUAACUUUCAGAACAAAAUACGAUUGAAUCUGCGACGGAACAAUUUCAAACGUUCUAAUUCCUUAUCAGGAGGCAUGCGGCAGAACUUAAUUUUCACAAGAUCAUAGCUGAUAUAGGCUCUUUAUCUAUAUCUGCGGAUAAGAUGGUGUCGUAUCAAUGAUUUCUAUACCUAUCAUAGUUGUGAAGGUUAUAUUAUAUUGGCUUAUAUUUUCCGUGUGAUCUACGACCUAUGAUUGUAUUCAACCAUUUAAUACGUAGGUACUAAUCGUACUAGGUAGGUAUGUUACAAAAUAAAAUAAAAUGUAUUGAGUAUUCACAAAGUAUAUAUUUUUAUAAGCUAACACAAAUUAAGAGGACGUUGUACCCGUCGUGUUGUCUCCGUCUUACACGUACGACAUAACAAAUGCCAAAUUUUUAUUCACCAGUUUCAGAAGUAUGCUGUUAGUUUUGAUAUUAGAGUGAAUUGACCUACUAUAUAAUUUACAGCAAUUUUUCAGAUGUAUGAAUAUAUUAGAUGCACUUACCUAUCAAAUUCACAAGAUUAUGAACAAUAUUAUAUAUAUUUACAAAACUAAUAUAAUUUAUAUGGUGCUCAGUCAAACUUUUUAAUAUGCAUCAUGAGGCACAUCAAUACCGGAUGCAGCCUGCAUUUUAUUAUAACAAACAUUCUUGAUGGUAGUUAGCCAAAUUUAUAAAGUGGAUCACGAAGCAUACCAAUACCACCAGAUGCAGCCUGUAUUUUAUUAUAACAAACAUUCUUGGCUCUGUAAUCUACUUGGUGUUUGGCUGUAUUGCUGUGUAGUGUGUAGAGUGCGAACAAAACGAAUCUGAGAACAAGUGCAACUAAAUAAAAAUUGUACCGAUGUAACAAGUACUUUGGAAUCGGUACUUUAUUGUAACUGUACUGAUUGGAACGAUUACAUAAAAGGAACGAUAAUUCCCACCACUAUUGUAAACGUGUAAAGGUUGCAAUGGACAAUUGCAGAAAAUUUUAAUUAAAUUUUAGACUAAAGGUUCACAAUAGGUAUGUGGUAAUAUGCGCUCAAGCUGAAUUUUCUGAAAUAUAUUUUAAAGCAAUAACAAUUUUAAUACAAUUCUCUACAAUA